UGUCAUAUCUAAUAUCAACAUUUCACUUGACAUGGCAACACAAAAGGUUAAAGUCACCUUGAAUUAGUGAUGGAUAACCUCAACUCAGCUCCUCUUCUCGUUUGACAGAAAACAUUCCUCGCAACCUAUCGUGUGGAGAAAUCUUGAUUGAAAUGAUUCUCAACGACAUUACGCCAUACCUUCUUUCAUUCUCAUUGUUGUCAGAUUGAGUCAGUCCUUACCUCGUGAUGACUGGGUAGAGCUGUAAUGAUGACGAAAGGGAGAGUGAAUAGGUAGAACGCUACGCAGGACAUGAGCGCCACUUUUACUAACUAGGGUUUUAGGUUGAUCCUCCACUUCAAAGCAACAAGCAAGUUCAGAGUUUAACUGAAUUGAAUGUGCCACUGCCAGCACUUCCGACGCACCGACAGCUUCCUGUACUCUUUAAAUGAUAACACUUCACCAUUUUCCUGAUUUAUUGUGUGAUAACAGUUUUAACCAUUAUAUAAAACGGUCUAAAACACUGCAAAAUAACUAUGCGUUUAUGGGCAUUUUUAUAACAAGACACUAACAGUUUGAACAAUGAAUUUAUUAAUAUUUAUGUUCUAGAUCAGGUUGUUGCACA
Molecule: long non-coding RNA, 604 nt
Organism: Bolinopsis microptera
Lineage: Eukaryota; Metazoa; Ctenophora; Tentaculata; Lobata; Bolinopsidae
Exons: 4
Source: RefSeq, a predicted model, not a curated record